GUUGUGGAUGAACAGACAAAACUUCUAGUUCAUGGAGCAGCGCUGAUAGCUGUGGUUCAGGCAUGGAUCAUGUUGGUCCAUAAGAGAGCUGUUCGUCGGAGUAAUAAACCUCUCAUCUGGUAUGGUCCAAUGUUAAUUCAGGAUCGGGAGAGGAUAGCCAAUCUGAAGUACAUCUACAAUUGCAACAACACUGAGGCUCUGUGGAUACUUUGAAUGAAAAGAGCACCUUUUGCCAGGCUUGUGCAGACGUUCAGGAGCAUGGGACUUCUAGAUGAUAGUAUCCACACCACUAUGGAAGAACAAGUAGCCAUGUUCCUCCAUGUUGUUGGUCAUAAACAAAGGUUCAGGGUUGUACACAACACCUUCAGGAGAUCAAUAGAGACCAUCUCCAAGUACUUCAAGCAAGUGUUGUAUGCUAUCGGGGAACUCAGAGGAGAGAUGAUUGUGUCACCAACCAGCCAGACUCCUACCAAGAUUCGCACUAGCCCAAGAUGGUAUCCAUACUUCAAGGUGAGCACUAACAGUAUGUAG
Molecule: ribosomal RNA, 531 nt
Filed under: Triticum aestivum (bread wheat)
Lineage: Eukaryota; Viridiplantae; Streptophyta; Magnoliopsida; Poales; Poaceae
Description: partial small subunit ribosomal RNA
Source: RNAcentral